GUGCUCGCUUCGGCAGCGUAUACACUACAAACUGAAACGAUACAGACAAGAUCAGCAUGGCCCCUGCACAAGGAUGACAUGCAAAUUCACGAAGCGUACCAUAUUUUU
Molecule: small nuclear RNA, 108 nt
Organism: Ochotona curzoniae (black-lipped pika)
Lineage: Eukaryota; Metazoa; Chordata; Mammalia; Lagomorpha; Ochotonidae
Source: RefSeq, a predicted model, not a curated record